CCUCCGAAGUUUCUCUCAGGAUAGCGGGCAGACAUGACGUUGUUUUGUGCGGUAAAGCGAAUGAUUAGCGCACUCGGGGGCGUUUAGCCUUCGGGCGAUUCUCAAACUUUAAAUGCGCAAGGGUGCCGCUGCUUUAUUGAGCGGUACCGUUAAAAACGUCUGCCCUGUGGGCCACUUUUGGUAAGCAGAACUGGCGAUACGGGAUGAACCGUAAGCGUGGUUAAGGCGUCAAAUUGUCCGCUUAUAGAACCCAAAAAAGGUGUUGAUUCAUCGAGACAGCAGGACGGUGGCCAUGGAAGUCGGAAUCCGCUAAGGAGUGUGUAACAACUCACCUGCCGAAUGAAUUAGCCCUGAAAAUGGAUGACGCUGAAGCGGACAGCCGACACCACGCCGUCUGAACAAAGUGGCUUUUCAGAUGAGUAGGAGGGCGUGGCGGUUGUAUGGAAGCGUUCGUGCGAACGGGCGUGAAACGGCCGCUAGUGCAGAUCUUGGUGGUAGUAGCAAAUAUUCAAGUGAGAUCCUUGAAGGACGAAGCGGGGAAGGGUUCCACGCGAACAUUGAUUGGGCGUGGGUGAGUCGUUCCUAAGCCGAGUGGCGAUUGCUAAGUAGCGGCGAAAGGGAAGCGGGUUGACAUUCCCGCACACGGAUGUGGAGGUGGUGACACCGUACUGGGGUGAUGACGUUGGCGGAGGCUCUGGGCAGAGUUGUCUUUUCUGUUUGACCGUCAGUGUAUGCUGUCUGGAAUCCGAUUGUCGGGAGAAAGACGCAUGCACGGGCAGAGCGCCGGGGCUUUUCCGGCGUCCAGAUCGCCUCCGACGACCCUUGAAAAAUCACUUGCUGGGCAUAGUUUUCUAUGUGUUUAUCCACGCCGUGGCGUACCGAUCACCGCAUCAGGUCCCCAAGGUGAACAGCCUCUGUCCAAUAUGAAUAAUGCAGGUAAGGGAAGUCGGCAAAUUGGACCCGUAACUUUGGGAAAAGGGUUGGCUCUAGUGCUGCGUGGGAGUGGUUGCUGCGUUGUCGCGGUGUGUGGUGGUAGCACAGUUGCGGCGAUGAAGGCUUGUCCAUCGUCGCUGUGGCCGUGCCAUCUACCCGCGCUGCUGCGCGUAGCGACGCCCACAGCAUGCAGCAGACUAGAACUGCAACGGGCAAAGGGAAUCCGACUGUUUAAUUAAAACAAAGCAUUG
RNAcentral lists this ribosomal RNA (1184 nucleotides) under Antithamnionella spirographidis. Its description in RNAcentral is "eukaryotic LSU rRNA". It matches the Rfam family "Eukaryotic large subunit ribosomal RNA", at positions 958 to 2161 of the family's 3401-position model. The record is from RNAcentral. Lineage: Eukaryota; Rhodophyta; Florideophyceae; Ceramiales; Ceramiaceae.